Molecule: small nuclear RNA, 136 nt
Organism: Bufo bufo (common toad)
Lineage: Eukaryota; Metazoa; Chordata; Amphibia; Anura; Bufonidae
Product: U4 spliceosomal RNA
Exons: 1
Source: RefSeq, a predicted model, not a curated record
AGCUUUGCACAGUAGCAGUAGCCCAUGAGGUUCAUCUGAGGCAGGAUUAUUGCUAAUUGAAAACUUCCCAAAAUACCAAGCCACGAUGACUUGAAAUACAGCAAACUUUGGCAAUAUUUGAUAGCUUCUGAGGAGA